GUUUGAGAAACUGAAAGAACAGAUUUAAAAGACAAAAUGUUAGAGUACGCGUCCUACUAAUUGCCUAUAUAUAGAACAGGUAAGUAAACGUGGUUCACAGAAGUAAAACUGAACACAGUAUUUUUACGUGGAAAACACCCUGCUCAAGAAAGGUGUAAAAAACCGCGACCUGUACCUCUACAGGAUUUAACCCACAACUUCACUAAAUUACUUGAGCCUCAAUAAUCAAUAAAAUUACAAGACUUCUUGUAACCUAGGAAUUAAAACUUCUAACUCCUAUCACUACAAAAACACUAAUCUUCCCAAGAUAAGUGUUCCCAAGUGUUUGAGUUUCCAAACUUGAAGACAACAACUCCUAACUCAGUUUAUAGAUUACUAAGACUAGAAUCAAUAACUCAUUACAAUACAAGAACCUAAUGACUACACUGGUUAUGACCUGCUAAGUAAGAGACUAGGUUCUUCUUCAAGUAUAUGAACUGAUGUGCUGAUUGUUGAUUAACUUUUUAGUGCUUGAGUGAGUAUCAGGCUUUGUGUCACGUUUGUUGUAUUUAAUCCAACCUAUGAUAGAGUCCUUUUUCAUAUCUAAUUUGUUCUCCAGUAGAACUCUAUCAGUUAACUCUUUUCCUUUUGUUGCCGCCUCACUUGUCCUAGAUUUAAUAGGACUCUUUUUCUUCAAAUCCUCUCCUUGCUGGACUACUUGAUCAACUAGACUUCUUCAAGACUCCUUGUUUGACUCAGCUUCUGAUGUGAUUUAUGUUAGCUAUGCUUGUCUUGUACGCAGAAUCAUAUCAUUCAGACUCCUGCGCCAGCAAGAGUAUUUCACUUGAAUGGACCAACUUCUUCAAAUUGUUUCAUUCUCAUGUCUAUCAUCAAAACUCCUUCAUGCCUUAACACAAAAAUUAUCUUUACUUCUGAUUUAAAUUGUGGAGAGUUAAAACAUGUCCUACUUUUUUUGUAAAAUGUACAGCAAAUUAAGUUGUUUUCAUCCUAGGCUCACUCUUAAAUAUAGUAGAAUAUAUAUAUAUAUAUAUAUAUAUAUAUAUAUAUAGAGAGAGAGAGAGAGAGAGAGAAAGAGAGAGAAACAACAACAACAAACUUAGUGUAUUCCCACAUAGUGAGGUCUGGGGAGGGUAAGAUGUACGCAGUUUAUACCACUACCUCUGAAGAAGUAGCAAGGCUAUUUUCGAUAAACCUCCAGCUCAGUGUGGUAAAUGUAUUUAAGAAAAUUAUAUUGUGUAUAUGUUUGUCUGUGUGUGUGUAUGAAAUAAAAAUUAAUUAUUAAUUUUUAUGAAAGCAUGAAUGGAUUGCAGAGAAGGUGGUAAACACAUGCAUGAAGAAAUCCACACGAAUUGAUGAAGGAAAGAUAUUUAUAUACCUAAGUCAAAAUAAGAAAAUAAAGAAAGAAAUUCAAAGCCUUAGGGUUUUUUCCGGUAGAGUGUAUAAGAUAAUAUCGAAUAAGGUGACUUAGUAAUGUUGAGAUUAGUAGAGCUAGAUUAGUAAUAUUGGGAUUUGUAAUGCUGGAAUUACUUUUUAUGCGGUAUUUGGUUUGAUGUAUUGAAACCAGUAUAUAUUGUUAUAUUUUAAAAAUAAUAUUAUUUGUUUACAAAAAAUACCCUUGACAUACUAUAACUUUAUGUAGUUUCUUUGUAAAGUUUUUUUAUUAUUUUUUAAAAAUAAAAAAAUCAACAAUAUAACUAAUAACUUACUUUGGAAUUUUAAGAUUUAAUCAUUCACUUGCAGGAAAAAAAAAUUGUUAUCUUUUCUUUAUUUACUAAUCAUUUGUUUGUUGUUCCCACUUUAUGGUGUUCUUAAGUUGGAGGGAGGUACGUGUAACUUUUGAAUGAGAUAGUAGAAUCAUUAUUAACAUAAAAUUGUGUUACGUAAGUGUUAAAGCUAAGCAAAAAUAUUAUUUUUAUUUGUGAUAUAUCCUAUUUACAAAAUUAAAGCUAGUAUCCAAUCAUGCAAUUUAUUUUUGAAUUUUGACCAAUAAGUAUUUUUUAAGUUAUUGGUGUAGUUUUUUAUAUGACUAAAAUUAUUUGGAGGGAUAUUAUCAUCUUGGUAAAUUGUAACGAAAUAACUCGAAUAAAUUGAAAAAGAUUUAGAAAAUAUUUAAAGGAAUUCGAGGGCAUUUUUGUCUUUACUCAUGUUUAUCCAUGUAUUGUAAUCUAUGGAUUACUAAUCCCACCAAAUUAAGGGGUUGUUUGGUAGAGUGUAUAAGAAUAAUGAAAAAUAUGGUGUAUUAGUAAUACUUGUAUUAGCAAUGCUUGUGUUAGUUAUACUUGCAUUAGUUAUGCUUGUAUUUUUCUUAUGCAGUGUUUGGUUCGAUGUAUUAAAAAUAACAUGAAUUACAUAAUUUCUAAUUUUUUUAUAUUUUUUUACAUAAUACCCUCAAUAUAUCUGUUGGAAAGGAUGCGAAAUUUUUUUUAAGGAUAAUAAUGUCUUUAAGCAUGUUAAUACAUGCAUUAGUUCCAUUGCAUUACUAAUGUCAUGGAUUUUGAGGUAUUAGUAAUACACAUCUCAUAUAGGGUAAAAAUAUAUACCAAAUAAGGUACUAUUAAUACACAUUAAACUAAUGCAUGCAUUAACUUUCCAAUACACUCCACCAAACGACCCCUAGUGUAUUAGUUAUACACCCUAUAAUACCAUGUAUAAUGUAUAACCAAUCCAUGAAUUAGUUAUAUAUUGCUCCAAAUUUUCUAUCAAACAAUAUAUUAAAUAAUACCAUACUUUAAUAUAUGAAUUAUCAAAUUAAUAAACUCUACCAAACAGCUCCUUAGUGGAUUCCUUUCUAAUCAUGACUAUAAGUUUAGAGUUUUAAAAUUUGAAAGGUAGCUAAACUCUCAGGCCAUCCAGAAGAGGGAGAGUUUCAAGUAUUUGGGGUCUAUAAUUCAGGGUAAUGGUGAGAUUGACGAUGAUGUCACGCAUCGUAUUGGGGCAGAGUGGUUGAAGCGGAGGCUCACUUCGGAAGUCCUUUGUGAUAAGAAGGUUCUCCCAAAGCUUAAAGGUAAGUUCUACAGAGUGGUAGUCUGGACGGUCAUGUUGUAUGGAGCGGAGAGUUGGCCAGUUAAGAACUCCCAUAUCCAAAAAGUGAAGGUGACAGAGAUGCAAAUAUUGCGAUGGAUGUGUGGACAUACCAAGAAAGAUAAGGUGAGGAAUGAGAUUAUUCAGGAGAAGGUAGGAGUUGCCUCGGUAGAAGAUAAGUUGCUAGAAGUGAGGCUACGUUGGUUCGGGCAUGUGAUGAAGAGGUGUCCUGAUACUCCAAUGCGGACGUGUGAGACUCUGGCUAGGGAUGGUUUUAGGCGGGUUAGAGGUAGACCAAAGAAAUAUUGGAGGGAGGUGAUUAAGUAUGAUAUGGAGCAAUUACAGCUUACAGAGGACAUGACCCUUGAUAGGAAGGUGUGGAGGACGCGGAUUAGGGUAGAGGGUUAGGGGUGGUAGCGUGGAGGUAGUAAUAGGGGAGUGCUCAUUCGGGUCUGGAGUUUCUAGUUCGUAGUGUUGUGGCUGCAGUUUGGGGCUAGUAGUGUUGACUUUUUUGCAUCCCGUACUAGUUUAUUACGCACUUAUCUUUUGUGUUUGUUAUACGAUUAGUUUGUUUUAUGUACCAUACUAGUUUAUAUGUGCCUACUUUUUGUAUUUGUUAUACUAUUAUUGGUCCUAAGCCGGGGGAAUAUCGAAAACAGUCUCUCUACUUCUCUUGAGGUAAUGGUAUGGUCUGCGUACACUCUACCCUCCCCAGACCCCACUGGGUAUGUUGUUGUUGUUGUUGUUGUUGUCUAUUUAUGGCUAGCAGGGCUUUUAAUUAAAGGCAGAGAGUUUCUCAUUUGUUCAUCUCACAAUGGAUGGCAUUAUUUUUUUAUCUUCCAUAAGAAAAAUCCUACAAAUCUAAUUUUUCUUCUUCUUCUUUUUUUAUGUAUAGGAUAAAUAUUCAUUUACUCAUCUAUAUCUCAAAUAUUCUAAACAACUCCAUACUUAUUUAUCUUUCAACUUCUAUUUUUUUCUCUCUCUUUUUUAAUUUACUUUAAAAAAAAUUUGUAGUUUUUCUCAACUCUUAUUUUUUUUUCUUUUUACUUUAAAAAAAAUUUGUAGUUUUUCUCAACUCUUACUUUAUUUUCUUUUUCUCUUAUGACCUUCUUUUUUUUUCCUUUUUUCCUUCUUUUUAUUUUAUUUUGAUUUUUUUCUUUUCUCUAUUUUUUUUUUUAAAUUCACAACCCUUACUUUUUCUCUUUUUCUCCUAUCAACUUCUAUUUUUUAAAAGAAAAAAAUCUCCUUUUUAAUUUUUCUUUGGUUUAUUUUUUUUUCUUUUCUAAUUUUCCUAUCCUUUAUUUUUGUUUUGUCUCUUUUUUUUUUUUCUCAAUCUUUAUUUUUUAUUUCUUUCUCCUCUCAACUUCUAUAUUUUCUUUUUCUCUUUUUUAUUUUCUUUGAUUUUUAUUUUUUAUUUUUAGAUAUUUUUCCUUAUUUUUUUCUUUUUUUGCAACUUUUAUUAUUUUUCUUUUCUUCAAUUCCUUCCAACGACAAGGUAUGCCCCAUGGACAAGAGUUAGCACUAUAAGAUUGUAUCUUAAUUUAUGAUAUAUUUUAUAAAUGACUUUGAAAUAACAAGUUACAUUUAAUGAACAAGAACUGGCACUACCGCAUUGUGUUUUGAUUUAUGAGAUGUUCUAUAACUAUUAUCUUAGAGGUAAGAAUUAACCCAAAGACUUUCAAGCAACAAGUUAUGCCCCACGGGCAAGAGUUGACACUAUCAAAUUAUGUCUUGAUUUAUGAGAUGUUCUACGAUUCUUACCUUAGAGGCACUACUUAUCCCAAGGAUUUUCAAAUAAUAAGCUACAUACAUUGGAAAAGAGUCAACACUACCGCAUUGUGUAUUUUACUAAUGGAAUGCUUAUAGCUCUUGUCUUAAAGGCAAGACUUAGCCCAAGGACCAUCAAACAACAAGUUAUGCCCCAUGGGAAAGAGUUAACACUACCACACUAUGUAUUUAUUGAGAUGCUCUAUAACUCUUUCCUUAAAGGCAAGAAUUAGUCCAAGGGCUUUUCAAGCAACAAGUUACGGCUCAUGGGUAAAAGUUGACACCACCACAUUGUGUUUUGAUUUAUGAGAUGUUUUAUAACUCUUGUCUUAAAGGCAAGACUUAGCCCAAUGACUUUUAAAUGACAAGUUACGCCAUGUGGGCAAUAGUUGACAUUACCGCAUUAUGUCUUGAUUUAUGAAAUGAUUUAUAAAUCAAAGAAUUUCAAAAAACAAGUUAUGCCCCGUGGGUAACAGUUGACACUACCAUAUUAUGUCUUAAUUUGUGUGGCGUUCUAUAACUCUUGCGUUAGAGGGAAGGCUUAGUCCAAGGACUUUCAAAAAACAAAUUACGCCUCAUGGGCAAGAGUUGAUGCUACCACACUGUGUCUUGAUUUAUGAGAUGUUCUAUAACUCUUGCCUUAGAGGCAAGACUUAACCCAUAAGUUACGCGCCAUGAGCUUGAGUUGACACAACCACAUUGUAUCUUGAUUUAUGAGAUGCUCUAUUAGCUUGCCUCUAAGACAAGACAUAUCCCAUGAACCUCCCAAAAGAAUGAGUUACGCCCAAUGAGCAAGUGUUGACACUACCAAAUUGUGUCUUGAUUUAUGAGAUAUUCUAUAACUCUUGCCUUAAAGGCAAGACUUAUCCUAAAAGACUUCCAAAUAACAAGUCAUGCCCUUAAAUUUACUUCGAUGUCAAAACAAAAAGAAGAUCCUUUUGCGGAUUAUCCAACUUUCUAGUUAGCAAAAUAAAAUAGAAGUUGAGAAAAAGAAAAAGUAGAGAAAAGAAAAAAAAAGACUGAGCAAAAAAGAAACAAAAGAGAAGAAAAAAAUAAAGGUUAAGAAAAACGAUGAGAAUGGAAAAGCCCCAAAAAAAUAAAAUAAAGAUUGAGAAAAUUGAAAAUGAGAAGAAAAAAAUAAAAAUAAAGUUUGAGAAACAGAAAAAAAAGGAGAAAUGAUAGCAACAAAAAGUAAAAGAAAAAUAAAGGUUGAUACAAAUGACUAAAAAAAAGUAAAAUAAAGAAAUAGAUAAUAUUUGACAAAAAAUAAAAAAAGAUAAAAAAUUAAAGGUUGAGACAAAUGAAUUAAAACAAAAAAAAAAGAAAAUAAAAAACAAAAAAGUAGGAAAAAAUAAAAAAGAAGAAGAAACAAAAAUAGAAGUUGAGAGACAAAUGAGCAUGAAAAGUUUGAAGUGUAGAUGGAUAAAAAUGUACUUGUUCCGUAUAUAAAAAAAAAAAAAGACUAGUGUUUAAAGACUUUUCUUAAUAGGGACAAAAAAAAUAAAGGGAUAAUUACAUAUCUUAGCAAAUUCAUAGUCUCACUCAUUUAUUUUCUCUCUUUCUAUAUUUUCUAUCACUUUCCUUUUUUUCAAGUUAUUUUCUUCAUUUUUUCUUUUCCUUCUCUUGUUUUCUCAUUCUUUUUUUCUCAUUUUUCUUCCUUUUUUUCUUCUUCAUUUUUUAUUUUUUUUCUUUUCAUUUUUGCUCCUUUUUUCUGUAUGUUUUUCUCUUAUUUUUUGUUGUUGUUGUAGUAUUUUAUAUUUUAUAUUUUUUAUAUCAUACUAUAUAUUUUAAAUAAAUUUAUUAUUUGUAGUUGAAUAGCUUAAUCUUGAAUAUGUACAAUUUAUCAUUUGUAUUUGUAUACAAAAAAGUAUAUUAAUUAAUUAUAUUUUGUUUGGGUCUUAAAUAUAUAAAUAUGCAAUGUGUCAUUCAAUGCAAAUGUAUCGUUAGUAUUUGUAUUUCAAAUUUAUCAUUUGUAUUUGUAUAUAAGCAAGUAUCAUUUUGUAUGCAUAUGGUUCAAGUUGUAUAACAUGUAUCAUUUGAUGCAAAUAUAACAUUUGUAUAAUUUAUCGUUUUAUAAAUACAAGUAUUCGUAGAAAGAAAAAUAAAAUUCUUUUAAAAUUAUUUAAAAACACAUAUGAUAUUGUCAACUACAAAUUCAAAUACAAAUAAAUGAAUUAAAAAUAAAAAUAUAAUAUGCGGUCAACUUAUAAAUAUAAUAAAAAAUAGUUCUUUCAAAAUACAAGUGUAUCGAUAAAAAUAAUGCACAAAUAACAAAUAAAAUAAAACCACAAAAUAUAAAUAUAAUGUACAGUCAAUUAUAAAAUACAAAUACAAAAUAAUUCUUUAAAAUACAAAUGUAAAUUGUAUAAAAUAUAAAUGAUGGUGCAAACUAGUAAACAAAAAUACAAGUGUGAACUAUAAAAUGCAAAUAUAAAUGUGAACUAUAACAUACAAAAACAAAUGCGAACUAUAAAAUACAAAUAAAAAUGCGAACUAUAACAUACAAAUAUAAGUGCGAACUAUAAAAUAUAAAUACAAAUGAGAACUAUAACAUACAAAUACAAGUGUGAACUAUAAAAUACAAAUGCAAUUGCGAACUAUAAUAUAAAAAUACAAGUGUGAAUACAAAUACAAAUGCGAACUAUGAUAUAUAUAUAUAUAUAUAUAUAUACAAAACAAGCGUAAACUAUAAAAUGCAAAAUACAAAUAUAAUUGUAUCAAUGAAUACAAAUAUAAAUAAUGAUAUGAAUAUAAAUACGAUAAAUAAUUAUGGUAUUUUUAUUAUUAUUCGUGACUUGUACUCGAGUAGCCAUAUUUUUUUAAAAUACAAAAAAUAUAAGAUAGAAAAAAAAGGUAGAAAAAAGAAAAUCAAAAAGAAAAAAAGAACCAAAAAAAAAAAAGCAAAAUAGAAGAUAGAGAUAGAAAAAAAAAAAGAAAAAGAACCAAAAGAAAGAAACAAAAAGGGGAAAAAAUAUAAAAGAAAAGAACAAAAAACACGAAAAAGAAAAAGAUACAAAAAAUGAAAGAACAAUUAGAAAAACAAAAAAGAAAAAAAAAUAGAAAAAAAAAGUAAGAAAAAUCAAAAAAGAUAAAAGAAUAAAACUUUAAAAAUGACGGUAAAUACAAAUACAAUGUGUGGUUAUGAUGUUUCUGUUGUCAUCCAUGGCUUGUAUUCGAUGUAGUCAUAUUUUUUGAAAAUAAAAAAUAUAUAAAAUAUAAAAUGUGAUUAAUAUAUUUAUGUUUUAUAUGGAUACAAACUAUUGAGUAAAAGCGAAUACAAAGGAUUUGAAUCGAGUACGUCAGCUAUAAAUCUUAAUCUAUAUCUAUAAUCUAUAAUAUAUUAAAAGUACGAAGGCCCUUAGAAAAGUGCUUUGAACUUUUUCCUUCAUUAAAAGUCUUCGCAAUAGAUAAAAUUAUCUUUUUAAUAUUUUUAAAAAAAAAUCAUAUUUAAUCAAAUUAAGGACUCCUAAAAACAUACAAAUAGAAAUUAGACACUCCUAAAAUAUAUGGGAUAAAAAAUAAGGACUUUUAAAAUAUAUGAAAAGAAAUAACCAGUAGGAUAUAUAUAUAUGGAAUUCUAAUAAAAUAAAUAUAUUAAAUUUUGAUUAUUAAAUUUUUUUAAAAGCCAGAUAAUCCAAAAUAGAGAUUCGGAUUCUCUUUUUAUUAUUGUAGUUCUUAGUUGUUUUCUUAAAAUAUUUUUAUCCGUGCCAAAUUUUUAUAAGUAGAGAUUCCACUUCCAUAAAAAUGCUUUUAUUUUUGUUCGUUAUGUGAUUUAUGUAAUGUUUUUUUCUAAAUAGGAGUUUAUUUGUCUUUUUCUUUAAAAAAAUUUCGUGUUUUAGCUUUUUUUUUUUAGGUGUUGAAAUCUAUAAUAUUUACUUUUUAAAUUCCUUUUUUAUUUAGACAAUAUUUACUUUUUAAAUUUCUUUUUGGUUUAGGGUCUCUGAUAUAUAUAAAAAAUAUUAUUGCACAAUCUCAUUCAUGAACUUUAUCAUUAAUGUUUCUUUUGUAUUUCUAGGUUUUCUUUCUUUAUGAAUUUUUCUUUUAUAAUAGAUCUUAAUGUUUGUCUUAUUACUUUCUCUUAUGUUUUCCGCCAUAAAUAUAUCAUUCAUAUUCUUUAUCAAAAUUCCAGGUUCUUGAAGUGAAUUUGUUCAGAGGUAUGUUUUCUAAAAGUUUAGACUGAUUUUGAAGUUUACAAUAAUAAAUGAUGUAUUUUUGAUAAAUAAUUAUAAAUUGAGAAAUUUCUUUGUGAGUUUUGUUUAUAGUAUUCCAUAUACAAUUAGUGAUUUGAAAUUGAAUUAUUCACAAUUUUGGACAGAUUAUUUAGAUUGUCCCAUUUUGUCACGAGAAAUUGGUUGUGUACUAUUGCUUUUCAGUCACUUCAUGUUUGGCCUUACUCUAUCUCAACUAAAGGAGUUGUACUAUUUUGAAACUCUAUAAGGCAUGAAACCUAAAAAAACUCUCAAAAGAAAGAAUAUUUGUUAGCUCAAUCAGUGGUCGGUGUAAAAGAAAUUACACAAAAAAUAUUUUCUCAUAUACAUACAUACUUUAGCACACAAAUAUCUUUUUUUAGCAUACGAAAGAGAUACACAAAUCCAAUUGUUUAUUUUACCUUUUUUUUAGUUCAUUUCAAUAUCCAAUUGUUUAUUUUACUUUUUUUUUUUAGUUCAUUUCAAUAUCUUUUUUUAAAAUACUCUAUUUCUAAACUUUCAUACAGUACAUUUAAAACUACAAGAUUAAAGUAUAUUUUAAUAUAUUUCACAUGUCUGUAAUAAUUAAAAGAGACAUUAGAAAAUGUAUGAUAAAUUAUCAUGUUCUUCACAUUUUUUUCUUAAAAUAAAUGCUGAUUUUUAAAAUUUUUAAAUUAAUAAUAUAACGUACACACAAUAAUUUAAUCUUUUGAUAUUCAUUUAUUUUUAAUUAACUAUAUACACGUGCAAAACACGUACACCUAAACUAGUAUUAUAAAGUGUGGCUAUGGAAGGUGAAUUUUGUGCAAAAUUGUUGCUAUUUUUGAAGGGAAGUUUCAAAAAUAGCAAAAGUUUGGCACAAAACCCACCUUUUGAUAGCCACAUUUUACAUAUUUACUAUUUAUAGCCGUUGUAUUCGAUUUACAGUUGUUGUAUUCACUUUACUCAGUGGUCUGUAUUCAUAAAAAACAUAAAUAUACUACAUAUUUAGUCUCACAAAAAACACUACCAUUUUUUCUUUUUUAUUUUUUUAUUUUUUUCUUUUUAGUGUUUUCCCCGGUUUUUUCUUUUCUUUUUUCUAUUUUUUUUGUUUCUUUUUUUUCUCUCUUCUAUCUCUAUUUUCUAUUUCUCUUUCUUAUUUUCUGUUGUUCUUUGAUUUUUUUGUUUUCUUUUUUGUACUUAUAUACUUGUAUGCAUUAGACCAAUAAAUUGUGAUUAUUUCUUCCCUCCCAAUUGGUUCAAGGUCAGGAAUCAACUAUUUCAUCUAAUAAUUUUAAUGUGCAAUAUACGAUUAAUGAAUAUACCAUGAUGCAUAAAAAUGGAUUCCUCAAAUAAAAUAAAGGAUGUAUGUUAGUUUUUCUAACAUAAGGGGGAGAUUAUAAGCGGCUAUGAAACAUGUUAGGAAUUAUCAUCAGAUCCUCAUUCAAAAGAUAGUUCAAGUAAAAUACUGAAAGCAUCUCAUAUCUAAGCUGCAAGUGCUCUUAUUUUGUGUUCUUAAAUGACAAAGUCUACCCAUACAUGAAGAGUGGUAGACCAAUCGGUUCCUUGAAAUAAUCUGUGAAAAAUAAAGAGCAAAUAAUCAUAAUAAGAAGGUAAUGUACUCUUGAAGAGCCUACGACAUAACACUUCAUGAAACCUUAUGAGAGGUUCAGGUACCUGAGAAUAAUGAAGUGAUGAGAUCUCAAAAUGUUAUGUCACAUUGUGAACCGAUACAAAAUGAUAUAUCAUCGAUAAUAUCUUUCAUACAAUAUUGACGCAAUUAAAUAUUACGAGGAUCCGAAUUCUACGUUAUUUAAGCAUGUUGACGAAGAAAUAUUUAUCAAGUAACGUGAAAGGAUACAUCUUGGUAAGUAUAAAACUUAUUUGAUUUGCAGUCCAUAUACUUAAAGAUGUCACUCAUGUAAUGUUGAAUAUUGUCACUUGAAAAAAUUUACAUGAAAAUUUAUUUAAGGAUUCAAAAUGUUUGAAGCAUAUAAAAGUUUCAAGAAAACUUAUUUAUAAUCCUUAUAUUGCAUAAGUUUAUAACUUGAAAAUUAUUAGAACUCUUUGAGAGUAUUCAAAAGCAAUAGAUUAUUGGCUGAAAUGAGAAAUAUUCCAAAUUGGACUAUUAUAAAGUACCAUAUCUUAGUGCAAUUGAUGCACAAAUGUAUCUUGCAAAUACCACAAGGCCCGAUAUAGCUUUUUCAGUUAAUUUGUAAGAAAGGUGUAAUUCUUCUCCUACUAGGAGACAUCGAAAUGGGAUCAAAUACAUAAUUUUAUUUUGUUCUAAAGAUUGCAGUCCCGAUCUUGUUAGAUAUGCAUAUGUUGGGUACUUAUCGGACCCGUAUAAAGCUCGAUCUCAAAUAAGUUAUGUGUUCAUAUGUGAGGAUACUGCUAUAUAUUGAAGAUAUACAAAACAGUCUAUCAUAGCUACCUCAUCGAACAGUGCUGAGAUAAUAGCUAUUCAUGAAGUAAACCGAGAGUGUGUGUGGUUAAGGUCCAUGAUACAUCUCAUUCGCGAAAAAUAUGAUUUGAAAUGUGAUAAAGUACCCAUGACUUUUAUGAAGAUAAUGCAGCAUGCAUAGCAUAACUUAAGGGAGGAUUCAUAAAAGGAGAAUGAACAAAACACACUUCAUCAAAGCUUUUCUGUACAUAUAAUCUCCAAAAGAAUGGUAUUAUUAAUAUACAACAGAUUCGUUCAAGCAACAUGUAGCUGAUUUAUUCACCAAGUCCACUCCAAUUGCAACUUUCAAGAAGAUGGUGCACAAGAUUGGGAUGCAAAGGUUCAAGGAUGUUCUCAUUAGGAGGAGUUAAUACGCGUUGUACUCUUUUUUCCUUAUGAGGUUUUGUCGCAAUGAGUUUUUCUUGUAAGGUUUUUUUAAUGAGGUAACCGAAAUAAGUAUGUUAUAGAUGUGUACUCUUUUUCCUUCACUAGAUUUUUUGUCCACUAGAUUUUUUUCUUGUAAGGUUUUAACAAGAUACAUUAUUUGUCAAUUAGACAUUCAAGGAGGGUGCUAUAAAUAUAUUACCAUAUAUAGUGAAUGUUUAUUUUACCAUAUGUAGUGAAUAUCUAUCUGUAAUCUAUAAUAUAUUAAAAGUGUGAAAACCCUUAGAAAAGUGAUUUGAACUUUUUGCCCUUCAUUAAAAGUCUUCGCAAUAGACAAAAUCAUCUUUUUAUCCUUUUUCAUCAAUUAUUAUAUUAUUAUUUUUAUAAUAUUUUAAGGACUCCUACAAUAUAUAGGAGGGGGUAAUAUAUGGGAAGAAUUUAGAUGUCUAUUUUUGAUAUAUUAGGAAAAUAAAUAUUGAUUAUGGUAGGUUUUAAAGGUAAUUUGUCUUUGACUUGGACAUUAGUUAUGUUUAUUUAAGGUUUAGUUAUAGUUAUUCAUGAUACGUUGUUCUUUUUUUGCUACACACGACAACGAUUAUGUGUAUUCAACCUAUUUCUUAUACUAAUUGUAAUACACAUUGGUAGGCUUUCUAUUAAAUAUCUGAUUUAAUUUGUUUAUGUUUUUUGUUUAUUUGAUUGAAAUUGUUAUUCAAGAGAUCGUUGGCUUGAUCCAUGACACAUAUUUUCACACGCAAGAAACAAAGUUGAUUCGUUUUCAAAACAACAACGGAAGACAAUAACGCUUUUUGUUGUUGUCUUAAUUUGAGCUUUGAAUUAUAUGCAGUAAUAUGCAGUUGGGGAAAUAGACAAAAUUAUCUUUGUUUUGUUGACAUCUGCAUUUUUCUUCUACUUUUUUUUUAUAUUCAGGUUUUCGCUGGUUUUCUAUCAACGAAUGUUUUUUCUUAAAUUUAGAUACCCACUAUGUAUGUUUCUUUCGUCAUGCAACGUCUUUUCUCUAUAGUGAUUUUAUCUUUCCUAAGCACUCUAAUACUUAAUAGAAAAUUAUGUAAUUAUUAAGAUCUAUUUUGAGACUAUGCGAUUGUGUAGGAGGCUUUAUUUAAGGAUACUCUUCUAUCACCAAAAUUUAAAAGCAAGUUCUACAAAAUGGUGAAUUAAAUUGGCUAUAUUGUAUGAAGCGGACAUGGCACAAUUUUCUCUUACUAAUGCCAUGACCUUAGAUAAGAGGUCAUGGAGGACACUGAUUAGCGAGGAAGAUUAGUUAGACAGUAGUGAACCAUAUUUGAUUUUCUUAUGUCUCUAUCUAUGAAUAUUCACUUCAAUAUUUUCAAAGUUUUUUCUCGAAACAAGAUUAUGUUGGGCUUAAUGUUUUGCUUAAACAUUGUUGAAGGACGAAGGAAAAGUUUGAGUAACUUUCUGCCUAAUUCUCGGUCAGCUACUGAUCUCUGAAAAGGUUCAGAAACUGUUUAGGUGGAGCUUUGAGUUUUAUUCAUGAAUUAGAGGUAAUUGUCAGUAUUAGACACGUCAAUUUGUUGAACUUGAGAGGUUUCACUGUCACAUUCUUUUUGCAGGGUCAUCAAAGAAUUACUGUUUGUGAUUGAUGAAAAAUGAGAGUUUAUAUGAUCAUUUAUUUGGGUGGAAAUGCAAAAAUUGAAUUGGCCUAUUAUUCAAAAAAUUGCAAUUGAUAUAGCUAGAAGCUUCACUUGCUUGCAUUAUGGAGCACAACGACUGUCACUCAUAGGGGCAUAAAGUCAAGUAAAUAUACAUUUAGACGAAAAUUUAUGUCUAAGAUUGCGAAUUUUGAAAGAAAAGAAUGCCAAGAAACCAAAUCAACGAAGAAAACUUAUAGUACAUUGGUUGACAAAAAAAAUGAAAGUAAAUUGAAGGUUGAAGGCAUUAUUGAAAAAGUGACAAAUUAAAAGCAGUGUGUUGUAAUAAUGUAACAAAAUUACUUAUUUAACACUUUGCAAGAUGUAAAACUCAAUUACUAAAAUGCAUUGCGAGAAAGCAAAGAGGAAAUUAAAAAUAACAAAUUAAAUGACAUGAUGCGCCUAAUUGUUCUUUGAGGCUACAAUUCGCGUCCUGUAAUCAUGCAAUGAACUGAACUAAGUCACAUGACAAUUAACUGACUCUGAGAAACAAAGAAGUUAUUAAUGAAUAGUGAGUAAUGAUUAGUACAAUUAUAUAUGGUCAAUUAGGUAGGGCUAGCUAGAAAUAUAUUUAAUUUGGAUCCAUCCAAGUGAUGCAUUAGAUGAAUAAUGAAAAUAUUGUGAUGUAGUAUCAUGACUAGAUGUAAUAUAUUGAUUUUCUUUCUAUGGAUUACUAUCUAGAAGAUAGCAGUUACAUUGUAGAUAUAGCCACUCCGGCAAAUAUAUUAUAAUUUAGUCUUUCUAUUCUUAUUUUUAAUUCUUUACGUUUUUCAGAGAUAAUUUGUCUUAAUUCUUUAUAUUGUUGUAUUUUAUUCAUUUUAAAUUAUAUUUAUAAUAUCUUGGUGGAUAUCUAAAUCUAAUUUUAUUAUAAUUAGGCGGUAUAUAUUUCAUUCUUCUAGAUUUUAAAUGUGUUAUUAAUUUUGAUUCAAUACUAGAUAUUAAUGUAAUUAAAUAGGCUAGUUUUUGUGGAUUUUCUUUUGUUUUAUUUAGACUUAUAUAUUCUGAAUAAUUACUAAUUAAUGAUUUUUUUAUUUUUCUAAAAGCUUCUCUAUUUUUAAAUGGUCUUCGCAUAAUUAAUUUAAUAUUUUCGUAGGUAAUUUUUUAAUUUUUUAACUUUAAUUCUAAUUCUAAUUCUAAUAUAUAUCUCUUCCGUACUUUUUAGAUUACUGGGCUCUGAUACCAUUAGGGGGGUGCGCGGAUUUAAUUAAAUAGGUAUAAUAGAUUUGGUACAUAUUUGUAGUGAAUCUAUUUUUAUUUAGUGCGUGGAUGUUAUCUUUUAAUAAUUUACUUUUUUCGUAAGAUAUAUUCAUUAAUUAUUUUAUCCUGUAGUAAUUACAGAGUUACAAAUUCUUGUAUAAUAAUUUAUCCUAUCUGUGCUAUAAUAUAUAUCUAAUUCUAGAUUUUCAAUGUUAUUUAUUAUUUUGUGUUGUUCUUCUCGUAGUGAGUUUUUUAAAUUAUAUAAACUAUCACAUGUACUUUUAUCUAAAUUUUCUAAGGUUUUUUCUAUCCAUAUUAAUUUUUCUUUUAGGUCUUUCAUUAUUUGUCUAAUUCGGUUUCUAUAAUUAAUUUCAUUAUUUAGAUUUUCUUGAUUUUCUCUAGUUUGUCUAAUAUAUUCUAACAUUUUUUAAUCUGAAUAAUAUCCUUCUGGGUAAAUUUCUUCGUAUAACUGUUCUAGAUAAUUUAUAGUUUCAAUUUCGUAGUCUAUUACUUUUUCUAAUAUUAUUUUCUUAAUAUCUAUAAUUUCUAUGUUUUUAAGUAUAUAUAAUAUUAAAACUUUAAGAUAAUCUAAAUGAUCUAUUUUUAAAAUUGUUUUGUAGCUGUUUGUUUUAGUCUUAGUAGUUUUUGCAUAUUUUUAUUAAGAAAUUUUAUAUCUUUGUUUUCCAUGUGUUUAUUUUUAUUUUUUCUAGUAACUGCAAAAGUUUUUGUUUUUAUCUUCUUUUUUUUUUUAUGUAACUUAUCACCUUAAGUAUUUAUAAGAGUCGUUAGGUAUUUGUGGUAUAUAGCUUAUUCUAGACAUAUAAUUUUUACCAAAAGCUUUUUCUAAUAUUAUUUUUCUUAUAUCUGCUACUUUUAUAUUUCUAAGUGCAUACAAAAUAAGUAUCUUGAAUUUAUCUACCAUCACAUCAGAUAUAUUAUCAUUCAUUUUUCAUAAAUUUGCUUUUUUCAAAAUAUUCCCUUCAAUCACGUACACAACAAAAUAUGGUCAUAUUGGCUUACUAUAUACUAGAUUAUUCUUAAAUAAUAUGUUCUUCCGUCACUAUUAACAUGGUAAUCUGGAUACUUUUUCCCUUAAACAGCGCCUCUACUCUGGUUACUCCCCGCCACGGCUUCUUGCCUCAUUGGUUUCACCUUUAGGAUGGCAUAGUCCUUAGGGAUAUUUCUCCGUUUCCUCUUUGUUAAUAAACUUCUUAACAUAUUAUUCUUCGAAUAAUUCUACUAUAAAGUAACUAAUAUGAAUUUAUUUUAUCAUAUCAUGAUUGUUGGGAAUUAUGAAAUUAGCUAUUCAUAAUUAUAAAUAGAUAUACCUGUUCCGGUAGCUUUGAUGUUUCUGAGUUUUGUUGUUCCUGUUGUUCCAUAGCUUUUUCCAUUGGAGUAUAUUUUUCUAAUUAACUGAGUAAAUUUUUUGUUUGUGGAAUGGAGAGAGAGAUUUGUUUCAAAAGAAGGCUU
RNAcentral lists this long non-coding RNA (16115 nucleotides) under Capsicum annuum. RNAcentral describes it as "long non-coding RNA (CANN_LNC014507)". Lineage: Eukaryota; Viridiplantae; Streptophyta; Magnoliopsida; Solanales; Solanaceae. The record is from RNAcentral.